ACUUCACCUGCCGUCCGUGUGAGGAAAAAGAAAAUAAAACAAAAAGAAGAGGACAAAAGACGGCAAAAGACGACAAAAGACGACAAAAGACGACAAAAGACUGAGCUGCAGGUUCAUGUUAUGAGCAAAUACCAACGAGUUUAGUGUCUGUUAUGAGUUCAACGCUGGAACAACAAAGAAGUAAGAAGUGAUCUGGCUGUGCCAGACUGCAGCGUCAUGUCACAGAGAAAAAGAUUCAACACAUUUGGAAGCCAGCUGUUCAAGACACUUCACUGGUCUGUUCACACAAUUCUACUGAGGAAGCAACAGUUCAGUGACGUCUCACCCUAGUGACAUCAAAAUCUGUUUUUAAACUGUUGUAUGCAUGCAAUUAAAGUUGUGUUCUGUCCUACAAUGUAAUCUGUUGGGUCAAAAAGUCACAUCUAAUGUAUAGUAAUGUUUCAACUUGUUCAGCUGCUUUUGAUAACCAUCAGGCAUCGACUGGUUGUUCUGCUUUGAUUACUUAAAUUGGCAGGAUUAAGUUCAAUAAAAUUUGUA
This is a long non-coding RNA of Trichomycterus rosablanca, 537 nucleotides long. RefSeq lists it as uncharacterized. The record is from RefSeq and is a predicted model, not a curated record. NCBI's taxonomy places the organism in Eukaryota, Metazoa, Chordata, Actinopteri, Siluriformes, Trichomycteridae. The transcript has 3 exons.